CUUUAGAAGACCAGUGUUGUGCUGUGGGUUGGGGUCUGCAGAGCUGAAGGCCAGAGUGGGCUUGGUCAGCAAUGCAGAGGGGUCGCUGGGAACACAGCCACCCUCCCAGAUGUUGAAAUCAACAGGACUGAUUUUAUGGAAAAGGCUCUCAGAAAGGAGCUGAGGGAGAUCAGAAGAGCAGGUGACUUGGAGCUGGAUGGUUGACGGCCCUGAAGGUCAGGCCAAGGGACCUGGCCUUUACUUGAGGCAAACUGUGGCGCUCACCUGCCUGGAAGGCUCACUGGCCGUCUCCUGAGGCCACGAGAGGCCAGCUCCAGGGAGCCGGGGCCUCUGCCUGCCUGGCCCACUGCUCAGCCCCAAGACGGCGCCUUGGCCUGAGGAGUGCACGCAAGACAGACUUGUGGGCUGAACAGAGUCUGUAAACGUGGAUGAUGGCCGCUGCUACGAUCUCAGGCCACGUCAGAAAGAACCCCACACACUCUUUAUUGAGGACCUAUCGUGUGUAAGUCUUGGAGACAGAGAAGUACCAGGUGAACGAAUGAACAGACUGUGGCACAUCCAGACAAUGGAACAGUACUCAGUGAUCAAGAGGCCGUGAGCCGUCCAGCCGUGAAAAGGCGUGGAGGAACCUCGCGUGCACAUCACGAACUGAAAGAAGCCCGUCUGAGGCGGCACCCGGUGUGUGGGCCCAGCUAUACGAUGUUCUGGAAAAGGCUAAACUGUGGAGACAGUGAGAAGGUCAGCGGCUGCCGGAACUUCGCGGGGAUGGGGGGAUGACCUGCUGGAGCAGAGGGGGUUUUAGAGCCGUGGCACUCUUCUGUGUGACGCCACGAUGGUGGAUCCGUGUCGUUACACCCUGGACGUUAUACAUCCAGACCCGUGAAACGCACAACACCAAGCACGAACCUAAUGCAAAUUGACUUUAGCUGAUAAUGUAUCAACGCUGGCUCAUCAAUUGUGCAAAAA
Long non-coding RNA from Camelus dromedarius (Arabian camel), 966 nucleotides. RefSeq lists it as uncharacterized. The record is from RefSeq and is a predicted model, not a curated record. NCBI's taxonomy places the organism in Eukaryota, Metazoa, Chordata, Mammalia, Artiodactyla, Camelidae. The transcript is spliced from 4 exons.